AUGGCUGGCGGCGACUGUGAGUCGCAGAUGUUCGCCAACGUGCCUGAGGGGUUCGUCAAACUCCUCUCCUUCAUCGUUCAGGUCGCGAUGGGGCCAUCCGUGCGCCCAGUCUUCACACUUUAUCCACACAAGAUCAACGACAGUCUGACCAUGCACCAGGCCGCGGUGCAAUUCAGGGGAGGGCACGCUGAGAUACGUCGCUUCCGGUUCUUGGGGAGAGCCAUGCCUACUGAAAGGCAUGCUAUGCAGAUGGCUGCCCGCGAGGCGAUAGCUCGUCUUCGGGAUGUCCUUCCUGCAAUGAAGACCCGUCGCUACCACUACCUUCUAUGCCAUGUACCAUACACCUGUCACUACUCAUUCUCUUGCCCUAGAGGAGAGCGAGACGAGGCCUUUGAGAUGCUUGUCGAGUACCUCCGAGCCCUGGAGGCAGCCUUCGACAGCAUGGUGGACGACCUCGUAGCUGCCCGCAUGGACUCCGUCCAUGGCUGUGCCGCCAACAGGAGGGAACUCCUGCACACCGCUCCACCGCUGACGUUCAUCUCGUCCUCAGCUUCUCAUUCACCUACCAUUCUCGCCACUGCUCGUUGUCUGACUACCACUGAGGAAUUUAACCAAGCUAUUGCACCCACUCCCAUUCGCGCUGCACCACUCAUUGCACCCACUCCCAUACGUGCUACUCCACCUAUUCCGCCCACUCAUAUUCGUAUUGCUCCGCCUAUGGCACCUGCUCCAUUAGCUCAGCGCAGCGUUCCUCGUCUGGAACCUAUUAGCGAGGAGGAGGUUGAUUCCCCAGCGUCACUGCGUCUCACCCUCGGCAGGCCAAGGGAGAUCCUCACCAUCUCUGACUGA
RNAcentral lists this ribosomal RNA (849 nucleotides) under Triticum aestivum (bread wheat). RNAcentral describes it as "partial small subunit ribosomal RNA". Lineage: Eukaryota; Viridiplantae; Streptophyta; Magnoliopsida; Poales; Poaceae. The record is from RNAcentral.